ACGCUGGCGGCGUGCCUAAUACAUGCAAGUCGAACGGCUUUUCUAUGGAAGCUUGCUUCCACUGAGAAGAUAGUGGCGAACGGGUGAGUAACACGUGGGUAACCUGCCCAUAAGAGGGGGAGUAACAUCCGGAAACGGGUGCUAAUACCGCAUAGUUUUCUUGAUCGCAUGAUCGGGAAAGGAAAGACGGCCUUUGUGCUGUCGCUUAUGGAUGGACCCGCGGCGUAUUAGUUAGUUGGUGAGGUAACGGCUCACCAAGACGAUGAUACGUAGCCGACCUGAGAGGGUGAUCGGCCACGUUGGGACUGAGACACGGCCCAAACUCCUACGGGAGGCAGCAGUAGGGAAUCUUCCGCAAUGGACGAAAGUCUGACGGAGCAACGCCGCGUGAGUGAAAGAAGGUUUUCGGAUCGUAAAACUCUGUUGUCAGAGAAGAACAAGUUGGAGAGUAACUGCUCCAGCCUUGACGGUAUCUGACCAGAAAGCCACGGCUAACUACGUGCCAGCCGCCGC
RNAcentral lists this ribosomal RNA (513 nucleotides) under uncultured bacterium. RNAcentral's name for it is "bacterial SSU rRNA". It matches the Rfam family "Bacterial small subunit ribosomal RNA", at positions 33 to 518 of the family's 1533-position model. The record is from RNAcentral.